Ornithorhynchus anatinus (platypus) is the source of this 138-nucleotide small nucleolar RNA. The record is from RefSeq and is a predicted model, not a curated record. Lineage: Eukaryota; Metazoa; Chordata; Mammalia; Monotremata; Ornithorhynchidae.
CCCUUCUCAGGGUCGCACCUUUAGAGUUUCCAGUAUUCUACUAGUCUCUGCUACGGGAGGGAGAGUCAAGCAGAGGCCUACCCAUUUCAUUCCUAGCUUGGGCAGUGGCUAGCAAGUGGAAGACAAUCUGCUACAACU